AGGACUUUGAUAUCUCUGCUUCCUGUGCUACUGAAUCCCACUUGAACACGAGAGCACAAGUAGGCAUUGACUGCUGUUGCUAUGCAAUGAGAAGCUGAAUGAUGCAAAGGGAAGCAUGUAAUCUUGUACUGAAGACAUUCUGGAGGAGUCAUUAGAAUAUUGUCUAGCACUUGAGUGAAAACCAAUUAAUGUUGGCCUUUUAUCUGCAAGCCAGAAUGAAUACAAUAGCAAUGGAGUGGCAGCAAGGAUAAGACAGGCACAGUGUCUGGCAGUAGCUCUGCACCCAAGAGAUGAUCCAAUCAGAUUCAGGAAGAGAGGACAAAUCUUACUGUUGAUAGGCA
Molecule: long non-coding RNA, 341 nt
Organism: Dermochelys coriacea (leatherback sea turtle)
Lineage: Eukaryota; Metazoa; Chordata; Testudines; Dermochelyidae
Exons: 4
Source: RefSeq, a predicted model, not a curated record